CGUCCCCUUGCCACUAGCAAAACUCAGAAACUCGCUCUCUAUUCCAGAGUCCAGACAUAGUUGAGCUGCUUCCAACACACAAAGGCAGAGCAGAACUUUUGUUAUCAUGCUCUAAUUGGAUCACGACAAUUUCAUUCAAAAGAAUUCAGGGUGGAGAAUGGAUACUACAUUUUAUGAUUCAGAACUCAAUUAACUACAUUGAGUCAUUGACCAGUUCAACUACUGAACCAAUGGCUGCAAC
This 241-nucleotide unclassified non-coding RNA is filed under the name Hevea brasiliensis (rubber tree). The record is from RNAcentral. Lineage: Eukaryota; Viridiplantae; Streptophyta; Magnoliopsida; Malpighiales; Euphorbiaceae.